RNAcentral lists this ribosomal RNA (123 nucleotides) under Scolecobasidium constrictum. RNAcentral describes it as "Ochroconis constricta partial large subunit ribosomal RNA". Lineage: Eukaryota; Fungi; Ascomycota; Dothideomycetes; Venturiales; Sympoventuriaceae. The record is from RNAcentral.
AGUUGUAAUUUGUAGAGGGAGUCUCGGGUUUAGGACCGGCCCAAGUGCCUUGGAACAGGAUACCAAAGAGGGUGAGAGUCCCGUAUCCGGCUGGUACCAACGCCCGUGUGAGACCCCUUCGAC